Molecule: ribosomal RNA, 957 nt
Filed under: Triticum aestivum (bread wheat)
Lineage: Eukaryota; Viridiplantae; Streptophyta; Magnoliopsida; Poales; Poaceae
Description: partial small subunit ribosomal RNA
Source: RNAcentral
AUGGAGUUUUUGGAUAAGUUCGUCGUGGUGUUCAUUGAUGAUAUUUUAAUCUUUUCCAAGGAUGAAGAAGAGCAUGAGGAGCAUUUACGAUUGGUGCUUGAGAAGCUCAGAGAACAUCAAUUAUAUGCCAAGUUCAGCAAAUGUGAGUUUUGGUUGAAGGAAGUUGUAUUCCUUGGACAUGUUAUUUCUGGAGAAGGAAUAGCAGUAGACCCUGCCAAGGUUGACACAGUGACAAGUUGGGAAUCACCCACGACAGUUGGAGAAAUCCGGAGUUUCCUUGGACUUGCAGGAUACUAUCGGAGAUUUAUCGAGAAUUUCUCAAAGAUUGCUAAGCCCAUGACUGAGCUAUUGAAGAAGGACACCAAAUUCAAUUGGACUGAGGAAUGUGAAGCUAGUUUCCAAGAGUUGAAGAAACGAUUGGUUACCUCACUAGUGUUGAUUCUGCCCGAUCAACGCAAGGAUUAUGAAGUUUAUUGCGACGCUUCUUGUCGAGGACUUGGAGCAGUGCUUAUGCAGGAAGGAAGAGUUGUGUCGUAUGCUUCACGACAACUUAAACCCCAUGAGAAGAAUUAUGCUACACAUGAUUUGGAAUUAGCAGCCGUGGUGCAUGCAUUGAAAACAUGGAGACAUUUUCUCAUCGGAAACCAUUGUGAGGUGUACACGGAUCACAAGAGUUUGAAGUAUAUUUUCACGCAGAAGGAGUUAAAUCUCAGACAGAGGAGAUGGUUGGAGCUCAUUAAAGAUUAUGAUAUGAGAUUGCAUUAUCACCCUGGAAAGGCUAACGUAGUAGCAGACGCGUUGAGCCGCAAGAGUCAUGUUAACACCCUCAUGACAGGAGAGUUACCUCAGGAGUUAACCAAGGACCUUCGCGAGCUAUGUUUGGAGAUAGUCCCUAGAGGCUAUUUAGCGACAUUGGAGAAUCAGUCUACCUUGAUGGAAAGGAUCAGAGAAGCUUAG